UGGGGAAUAUUGGACAAUGGGCGCAAGCCUGAUCCAGCAAUGCCGCGUGUGUGAAGAAGGCCUUCGGGUUGUAAAGCACUUUUAUCAGGAGCGAAACGCUGUCGGCUAAUACCCGGCGGAACUGACGGUACCUGAGGAAUAAGCACCGGCUAACUUCGUGCCAGCAGCCGCGGUAAUACGAAGGGUGCAAGCGUUAAUCGGAAUUACUGGGCGUAAAGCGUGCGUAGGCGGUUUCUUAAGUCUGCUGUGAAGUCCCCGGGCUCAACCUGGGAAUGGCAGUGGAUACUGGGAGGCUAGAGUGUGUCAGAGGGUGGUGGAAUUCCCGGUGUAGCGGUGAAAUGCGUAGAGAUCGGGAGGAACAUCAGUGGCGAAGGCGGCCACCUGGGACAACACUGACGCUGAGGCACGAAAGCGUGGGGAGCAAACAGGAUUAGAUACCCUGGUAGUCCACGCCCUAAACGAUGCGAACUGGAUGUUGGCCUCAACUCGGAGAUCAGUGUCGAAGCUAACGCGUUAAGUUCGCCGCCUGGGGAGUACGGUCGCAAGACUGAAACUC
RNAcentral lists this ribosomal RNA (556 nucleotides) under uncultured bacterium. RNAcentral's name for it is "partial 16S ribosomal RNA". It matches the Rfam family "Bacterial small subunit ribosomal RNA", at positions 355 to 902 of the family's 1533-position model. The record is from RNAcentral.